Non-coding RNA from Hydra vulgaris (swiftwater hydra), 393 nucleotides. NCBI's taxonomy places the organism in Eukaryota, Metazoa, Cnidaria, Hydrozoa, Anthoathecata, Hydridae. The record is from RefSeq and is a predicted model, not a curated record.
AUAACUAAAACAUUUACUACUAGUUUUCUAACCUGCUAAGUCAUUGACCUAUAGUAUUUUUAACCUACUGAAUUUUCAACCUAAGUAAUAUUUAACCUAGCUUAUUUUCAAUUUCAUAACUAUUUCUAGUAUGUAUUUUGUAUACUUUGUUGUUUAUUUGAAUACAAGCCAAAUUUGAUCAGCCUUGGUGCAGUGGUUGAAACACUGUCUUCAGAAUCAGAAGUCAUUGUACCACAAUGUGAAACCAAGAAACCAGUUCCACUUGUCAAGCGCAUAUGUGUUAAUUAUACUUUAUCGCCACAAAAACUGUGUUAUCUACUUGCCUACUUACCAUACCUUUUUGAAAUAACAUUCAUGAUAAACUAUCAGUUAGAAACAAUUGGCUACAGAAUG